GAACGCUGGCGGCGUGCCUAAUAACUUCAAGUCGAGCGAACAGACGAGGAGCUUGCUCCUCUGACGUUAGCGGCGGGCGGGGGGGUAAAACGUGGAUAAACUACCUAUAAAAAUGGGAUAAAUUCGGGGAAACGGAGCUAAUAACGGGUAAUAUAUUGAACCGCAAGGUUCAAUAGUGAAAAAAGGGUUUUCUGUCACUUUUAGAUGGAUCCGCGCCGCAUUAGCUAGUUGGUAAGGUAACGGCUUACCAAGGCGACGAUGCGUAGCCGACCUGAGAGGGUGAUCGGCCACACUGGAACUGAGACACGGUCCAGACUCCUACGGGAGGCAGCAGUAGGGAAUCUUCCGCAAUGGGCGAAAGCCUGACGGAGCAACGCCGCGUGAGUGAUGAAGGUCUUCGGAUCGUAAAACUCUGUUAUUAGGGAAGAACAAAUGUGUAAGUAACUAUGCACGUCUUGACGGUACCUAAUCAGAAAGCCACGGCUAACUACGUG
Molecule: ribosomal RNA, 494 nt
Filed under: uncultured bacterium
Lineage: Bacteria
Description: partial 16S ribosomal RNA
Rfam family: Bacterial small subunit ribosomal RNA
Source: RNAcentral